Molecule: non-coding RNA, 225 nt
Organism: Pelobates cultripes (western spadefoot toad)
Lineage: Eukaryota; Metazoa; Chordata; Amphibia; Anura; Pelobatidae
Source: the annotation of a GenBank genome assembly
CUGGAGGAUAACUUACAAGAUACAGCUAUCAGAAAACAUAUACCCUAUGCUAAUCUCUUGCUUUCAUCUUUCAAGUAAAUCCAUGUCUCUUAACAGCAGUGUCUAGUGAAGCAGGAUUUCAGUGGGAGGGGUAAAAGGGUGGGUCACUGAUGUGUAUCACGUUAACCAGAACCACCCAAAAGGACAAACACGCCCAAAAAGAAGGCGUGUCUGCAUGAAGAAUUA